GCCAGGGUGGCGGAAUCUGGUAACGCGCUCGCCUCGAGAGCGGGUGGCCGCAAGGCCUUUUGGGUUCAAAUCCCAACCCUGGCG
Candidatus Woesearchaeota archaeon CG1_02_57_44 is the source of this 84-nucleotide non-coding RNA. NCBI's taxonomy places the organism in Archaea, Nanobdellati, Candidatus Woesearchaeota. The record is from Rfam.